This 669-nucleotide ribosomal RNA is filed under the name uncultured bacterium. RNAcentral describes it as "bacterial SSU rRNA". It matches the Rfam family "Bacterial small subunit ribosomal RNA", at positions 73 to 755 of the family's 1533-position model. The record is from RNAcentral.
GGGGAGCUUGCUCCCCUGGAUCAGUGGCGAACGGGUGAGUAACACGUGGGCAACCUGCCCCAGACUCUGGGAUAACUCCUCGAAAGAGGCGCUAAUACCGGAUACGAGCCCUGCAGGCAUCUGCGGGGUUGGAAAGUUUUUUCGGUCUGGGAUGGGCCCGCGGCCUAUCAGCUAGUUGGUGAGGUAGUGGCUCACCAAGGCGACGACGGGUAGCCGGCCUGAGAGGGCGACCGGCCACACUGGGACUGAGACACGGCCCAGACUCCUACGGGAGGCAGCAGUGGGGAAUAUUGCGCAAUGGGCGAAAGCCUGACGCAGCAACGCCGCGUGCGGGAUGACGGCCUUCGGGUUGUAAACCGCUUUCAGCAGGGAAGAAGCGAAAGUGACGGUACCUGCAGAAGAAGCACCGGCUAACUACGUGCCAGCAGCCGCGGUAAUACGUAGGGUGCAAGCGUUGUCCGGAAUUAUUGGGCGUAAAGAGCUCGUAGGCGGUUUGUCACGUCUGCUGUGAAAUUCCGAGGCUCAACCUCGGACUUGCAGUGGGUACGGGCAGGCUAGAGUGCGGUAGGGGAGAAGGGAAUUCCUGGUGUAGCGGUGGAAUGCGCAGAUAUCAGGAGGAACACCAAUGGCGAAGGCACUUCUCUGGGCCGUAACUGACGCUGAGGAGCG